Molecule: non-coding RNA, 929 nt
Organism: Anas platyrhynchos (mallard)
Lineage: Eukaryota; Metazoa; Chordata; Aves; Anseriformes; Anatidae
Source: RefSeq, a predicted model, not a curated record
UAUAAGCAUCUGAAUAUGCUCAUCUCUGUUUAAAAGAUGAAGCUACUUGUUCUGUGUUUUACUAUAGUUUUUGUUAGUUCAAAUAAAAGUAGAGUUAUUUUAUUUUCCCAUAAGCAUUGCUAAUUUUGAUAUUUGGGCAGCUAGCAAGCCUUUUCAGGUCUACAGUCUUUCAGACUUAGAAGCAUGCUAUUGCUGUGUUUGAGGAAGCAUUUCAACAUGUCACCCAAUACCUGCAAGUCUGAAAUGAGAGAAAAAUGCAUCAGGAUAUUGUUGGCAAGGCCGCUGUCUAAAUUACCUAAUUGUCUCCUCUGUGUGUGAAAGUGGAAAAAAGGUCUCAGCUCAAGGAAACUUGAAACUCCUGAACUACUACUGCUAUGUCCCAUGCAGACUAACCUGGACAUGCCUUAGCUGCAAGAUGUGUACCACCUGCUGAGAUACAUAAAGAUUGGAGUCUGCCAUAUUCCAUGCAGUACAGCCCAUCUUCCCAGGGCACGUUCAGGUACAUGGAACUGCAGCGACGUUAGCAGCCUCUUCUACUUUAGGAUUUUGCGUCUUUCAAUCUUGCUGUGUUUGCUUCUAAAGCAAGCUCUGCAGUAAUCUUUUAUUAUCAACAUGCUAUUUUACACAUUUAUGUAAGAACAUUAAUCUGAUAAUUAAUUGAAUGGAAAAUAUCAAAAUAAUUAACUAAAAUAAAAGCAAGCUCCAAGAUGUUUGAAUGUGCUAAAAAUCUACCCGUGAUAUUUAGGUUUGUUUUUCCACUUGCAAUAGGUGAAAGUAAUAUGAAGCAAAUAAUCACUGUUUCCAUCCUGCAUUUUGAUAGAAGAUAUUUCUAAUAUUUUAUACGUACCAUUAUUGUCAUUAUUUGUCAUACUCAGACCCUUGGAGAGAUUUUGUGACUGGUGCUUGCAGUAAAGAGAAUCUAGACUGGC